GCCCCUAUAGCUCAAUGGAUAGAGCUAUCCCGUCCUAAGGGAGAGAUCUGGGUUCGAUUCCUGGUGGGGGCACUA
RNAcentral lists this transfer RNA (75 nucleotides) under Candidatus Moraniibacteriota bacterium. RNAcentral describes it as "Candidatus Moranbacteria bacterium tRNA-Arg". It matches the Rfam family "tRNA". Rfam says of the family: Transfer RNA (tRNA) molecules are approximately 80 nucleotides in length. Their secondary structure includes four short double-helical elements and three loops (D, anti-codon, and T loops). The record is from RNAcentral. Lineage: Bacteria; Candidatus Moraniibacteriota.